GACGAACGCUGGCGGCGUGCUUAACACAUGCAAGUCGAACGGAAAGGCCCUGCUUUUGUGGGGUGCUCGAGUGGCGAACGGGUGAGUAACACGUGAGUAACCUGCCCUUGACUUUGGGAUAACUUCAGGAAACUGGGGCUAAUACCGGAUAGGAGCUCCUGCUGCAUGGUGGGGGUUGGAAAGUUUCGGCGGUUGGGGAUGGACUCGCGGCUUAUCAGCUUGUUGGUGGGGUAGUGGCUUACCAAGGCUUUGACGGGUAGCCGGCCUGAGAGGGUGACCGGCCACAUUAGGACUGAGAUACGGCGCAGAAUCCUACGGGAGGCAGCAGUGGAGAAUAUUGCACAAUGGGCGGAAGCCUGAUGCAGCAACGCCGCGUGCGGGAUGACGGCCUUCGGGUUGUAAACCGCUUUCGCCUGUGACGAAGCGUGAGUGACGGUAAUGGGUAAAGAAGCACCGGCUAACUACGUG
This 468-nucleotide ribosomal RNA is filed under the name uncultured bacterium. RNAcentral describes it as "partial 16S ribosomal RNA". It matches the Rfam family "Bacterial small subunit ribosomal RNA", at positions 28 to 507 of the family's 1533-position model. The record is from RNAcentral.